ACAUUAUAAUAUAACUAGUUAGCGUGCACGUGCCUUGCACGUCAACAUACAUUGAAUGGAGUAAAAGAAAUACAUCAUUCGCUUAAAUCAGUUGAGUUAAAAGUUCUUGUACAUCAUGCCCAAAGAAGCUACACCAUUACAUUCUCUUCUAACAAUCUUCUUUAUUCGAAACGCCGAGACAAUAGCCAACAUCAACUUUGCAUCAUGGAAUAUAUGACACAGCCGAGAUUUGUCUCCCUGUAGCAUCCAAUCCUAAUGCUAUGGAAUACAUUUCAUCAUGGAAUACAUUAUUAAAGCUCACGCUCACAUGUACCGAUGAAAAUGGAAGUUCUAUAAGUACGUACUACCUUUAAUAAGAUUACUGUGACCUUGGCUCCUCCACCAGUUUGGUUGAAUAAUAAAAGCAUCAACAGAUAGCCAAUCAAUGGUAAAUAAAAUAAUAGAAUUUCUUCGACCACCUUAUAGCGCUUGUUCAAAACCGAAGGCAACCUAACAGAUGAUCUAUUGCUCUUCAUUCCGUUUAUUUACAGCUUGUAAGCUUGUACACUUCCUGACGGUUUUUUAGCAUGCCUAUAUGGCAACCUGCAAACAUAAGACGAAAAAGAACUGUUAGUGGCACAAAAUUAGAUAUACUUUUGAUUCAUAAAGUUUGCAACUUUUUGUGUUUUUUACGUAGUGUACUUUUAUACAUGUAAGCUUUGGGAUAGUGGCUCAAGAGCAAGAAAUGUGCAAAUCUAGAACAUGCAAACUGGAUUCCCCAAUAUGUGCUCAGCAAAUUUGGAAAUAACGUAGGCUAAGCAGUAUUCAGUUCAGAUAGAUUGUUAAAUUGCGAAUCCAUGCAAUUAAUAUUUAGACUAAAGAAUUCCGAUGUGUAUAGACUAAUCUGAUGUGUAUGGACAACUGCAAUACAUGAUGACGAUGCAUAUUUUAAGACCAUUCCAACAUUAACUUCAUAAACAUUACGUUUGACAAUUUUCAAACUGUACUUUUAGUCAAAAGCAUGUCAUAGCUCAUAUUUGAUAAACAAAAUGGUAAAUCACUUGUAAGCAACAAAUCAAAUCAUGCUCGAACCAUCUACAUAUUAUGCUAAAAACUCAAAGUUACUUUGUAUAAUGCAAUAAAUUAUCGAUGUGCUGCAAUAAUUUAUCAAACACAUGGUCAAUUAAGAAUCUUUCAUUGAUGAAUUUUAACAUCUGGUGGGCAGCCAUUUAUAGGAAUCAUCGAAUCAAAUUCCUUUUGCAUGGAGGCUGUAGGCAUAUCUAUAACCUAUUAUAUACUGCCAAAAGAUAUUGGUGGCAUAAUUUUGUAACACACAAUACAUGAUAGUUCCAGCAACAAACAAAAUGACUGUUUGAUAUAAACAUGCUUGCUCAAUAACCAUCUAAUAGGAUAGCCUAUUUGAUCUACAUCUGAAAUAGGAGAUGGAAAAAGGAUAAAGGAUUACUAUCCUGAUGCAUAAGCAGAAAAAUCAAAAGCUUUAUAAUAUGCAGACUGACAUAUCUAUCCAUUCAAUUCAAGCUUCUAUUAUAUAUAGAAACAACAAUUUGACUAAUAUGAUUUGCCAAAAUCAGCAAUCAAAGAUAACGAUGUAGACACAUGGAGACAAAACGAUAGGACUUUUCCCUCUUAUGCCUCUGUCCUGCUAUGCUUCGAGUAACUCUGUUCACAACCUACCAAGCAACAUACUUGAAUAGUUGCUAUAUAGGUUACUUUGAAUAAAUGCACAUUUGUAUGGAAACAAAAUGGCAGCUUUUGAUCAGGUGGCAAAUGAAAAUCCAUAAGAAAGAGCUCUCAUCACCUCCUGAUAUUGCCGUGUACUAUGAGAGUCAGCAACAUCGGCAGCAUAUGUUUACACAUAAAUGACAAAGGAAAAGAAAUAAGUGCCACAUGAUAGUAACUGACAGCUAUGCAACUAAUGUAAAACUUGCUGAUGGAUCAACAGAGGUUUGCUGGUGGCCCCGACGGUGCGUAUUAGGAAGCAGUGUACCAUUAGACAUAGACAUCAACUAAGCAGGACAAUGAUAGCAAGAAAAAGAAGUUAUAGAAAAAUCAAAUUUGAUCAGCUUGGAUUUUUUUUCGUUUUUUCCAUUCUACCUAGAUAAUGCAGGUGUAGGGCUGGAAAACAUGGUUUUUCAACAGUGAAAUCAUGAUCUGGGCAAUGGGGAAAGCAAGCCUUACAAAUCCUAAAAAGCAGAGUAGCAGAGGGUUACGUAACCUGUAUGUAUAUUCAAAGGUUAAAAAAUAUUCAGAAAUAUAAUUGUUGUUGACAAACACAGGUUAGCAUUAACGGUACCUAUUCUUGAUUAAAUUCUCAAAGUUACCCAAAGUUGUUGUAUUCAUGAAAUUGGGAUUUGUAGUAUG
This 2361-nucleotide long non-coding RNA is filed under the name Oryza sativa (Asian cultivated rice). Its description in RNAcentral is "long non-coding RNA (OSAT_LNC000514)". Lineage: Eukaryota; Viridiplantae; Streptophyta; Magnoliopsida; Poales; Poaceae. The record is from RNAcentral.